GGACCUUGAAAGGCUGCUGAACAUUCCUCAUCAGAAACCUGAGGAGGACACUGAAAAGACAGCCACAAUUUUCCUUCUGCUUGCUGCCAAGUUUCUUGAGGGCUCAGCUGUUGGGAACUUGACUGCUAUCUUUGAGCAAGUGGAGUUCUCAGCAUCAAACUCGGGCAUUUGACCAACUUACUCAUCAACCUCAGGCAACAUUAGAACACGGCAACCUCCCCCACAUGCAGAAAGAUGCCUUUCUGUGGGUAUUCCCAAAGAAAAGGAAAGGAAGCAAGAGUAGGCUGUGCAUGACUUCUUUCUCCUAAACUCACCAACCAGGUUUUGGUUUUCGUGUCGUCUCUGGGUGGGAAAGUGGAGAGUGGGAGACUGAAGCUCAUUCUCAGGACCACGGACAAUGAUAC
Lutra lutra (Eurasian river otter) is the source of this 404-nucleotide long non-coding RNA. RefSeq lists it as uncharacterized. The transcript is spliced from 3 exons. The record is from RefSeq and is a predicted model, not a curated record. Lineage: Eukaryota; Metazoa; Chordata; Mammalia; Carnivora; Mustelidae.